CUAGCUCAUUCCUUAAACCCAAUACCCAAUACCCAUUAAGCUAAUCCUAGGGACCCUUCUAGACUUUUUUUGGAACAAUAAAUAAAUAAAAAGACUCUAAGGACCUAAGAGCAACUAGAACAAAAAUAUACAUUUAGACCUAAAUCUAUAUAAUAGGAGUAAUGCCUAAUGCUGGAGGGGACCAAAAAUUAGAAUCCGCCGCUGAACCUAGAGCUAGACCCCUAAAAAUCAACCGCAAAUCUCUUUCUUUUUUCAGAAAAACGGCAGUUUCAUGCCCAAAUUCCACUUUUUUCUGAUUCUUAAACCAUCUUUCCUUUUCCAUUUGAAGACACACACAUAUACAGAAGGAGAUUAAACAAAGGAAAUGGAAGUUUAGCCAUCAAAUAGCUAAAAAUAGCUUUAAACCCAGCUGACUACAAAAUGAAAAACAGUCUUCCCCCUUUGAUUUUUGGGUUCAUCUCCUAUCUCUCAAAAUUCAACUCACACAUAUAAAUACUACACUAGUCAUAACAAAAGGGGAGGGCACAUCGAGUUCUGGUGAAAGUUCGAGGUCGAUAGUGCAUGCCUUUCCGUCGAGGUCUCUAUCGUGAUUCCAUCUUUGGAACAAAUCAUCAGUUAAAAAAUCAAAAGUGAAAGUCUAAUAUUAAGGUUGUUUCCUUUCUCUGUUUAUCAAUUAGUAUCUAGGUUCUACUUUGUUCUUGCUUCAAAAUAUUUUUCUUUGGACAUGUCUCCUCUCACUUAAGUUUGCUUAAAUUUUGUUUGCAUUAAUUUUGUGUCAGUUUUUUUUUUUAUCUUUCUUUUAUAAAAAAAAUGGCACAAUUUAGUUUAUUGUGUUAAUACAUUAGAGGGGCGUCUUUAAUAAAUAUUAAGCAGUAGUAAUUUGAGGCCAAUUUUUGUCAAAAUUAGUGAUUUGAAUUAUGAACUUUUCAUCUAUGUUAUUAAUUUAAAAUCAUUUAAGAGAUCCACAUUGGAAUUAGGAUGUUAAAUAGGUUAACUUUUUACAGGGAUCGUGUGUAAAUAUUUCUGUACAAUAUUUUAUUCCUUAAUUGAUAUUUUAUUGCUUUGUUUUUUUUGUAAUUCCUUAUUUUAUGAGUUAAAUUUAUUUUAAUUUAUUUGACCAGAGUUGAAUAUUAUCCUUUAGGCAUAGAAACUGUAAUAUUUCUAUUAUAUAGAAAUGAGAAGUUGGUCGACCAGGGGUAAAAUUGACAUUUUACUCUAUCAUAAAAGUGCUUUAAUGUAAAUUGACAUUUUACUCUAUCAUAAAAGUGCUUUAAUGUAAAUUGCUCACUGCAGUAUUUUCCAUUCC
RNAcentral lists this long non-coding RNA (1306 nucleotides) under Nicotiana tabacum (common tobacco). RNAcentral describes it as "long non-coding RNA (NTAB_LNC001013)". The record is from RNAcentral. Lineage: Eukaryota; Viridiplantae; Streptophyta; Magnoliopsida; Solanales; Solanaceae.